Molecule: ribosomal RNA, 331 nt
Filed under: uncultured bacterium
Lineage: Bacteria
Description: bacterial SSU rRNA
Rfam family: Bacterial small subunit ribosomal RNA
Source: RNAcentral
CGCGUAGGCGGCUCUGUUUGUCGCGUGUGAAAGCCCCGGGCUCAACCUGGGAGGUGCGCGCGAGACGGCGGGGCUGGAGUUCGGGAGAGGAGCGUGGAAUUCCCAGUGUAGAGGUGAAAUUCGUAGAUAUUGGGAAGAACACCGGUGGCGAAGGCGGCGCUCUGGACCGAGACUGACGCUGAGGCGCGAAAGCGUGGGGAGCAAACAGGAUUAGAUACCCUGGUAGUCCACGCUGUAAACGAUGUGUGCUAGACGUUGGGAGGCCUAGCCUCUCGGUGUCGCAGCCAACGCGGUAAGCACACCGCCUGGGGAGUACGGCCGCAAGGCUAAA